CUUGCAUCACAAAGGUCAAUUCAAUAGAGAGCACACAGUUCUGAAGAGCUGAGUCCCACCCAGAGUGAAGGUAUGAGCCAUCCCAGAAGACUUCCCAGAGGAGGGGAUCUGCCAGACCCAAGGAUCAAAGCUGUGUCUCGUGGAUCUCCGGCAUUGGCAGUUGCCCAACCAGGGACUGAACCCACAGCCUUGGCAAUGAAAGCCUAACCCCAGACUGCCAGAAAAUUGCUUUACAGAAUCUAAAAUGAAGCCAGGGCACCAUUGAGAAAGUAGAACUUACACCUGUUCACUCUUGAAUGCAAAAUAAACUUUCAACCCAAUGAUCCUGA
This is a long non-coding RNA of Bos taurus (domestic cattle), 329 nucleotides long. The record is from Ensembl. NCBI's taxonomy places the organism in Eukaryota, Metazoa, Chordata, Mammalia, Artiodactyla, Bovidae.